This 328-nucleotide ribosomal RNA is filed under the name uncultured eukaryote. RNAcentral describes it as "partial 18S ribosomal RNA". It matches the Rfam family "Eukaryotic small subunit ribosomal RNA", at positions 1470 to 1796 of the family's 1831-position model. The record is from RNAcentral.
CCCUUAGAUGUCCUGGGCCGCACGCGCGCUACACUGAUGCGUGCAACGAGUUUAUAACCUUGGCCUGAAAGGUCUGGGUAAUCUUUUGAACGUGCAUCGUGAUAGGGAUAGAUUAUUGCAAUUGUUAAUCUUGAACGAGGAAUUCCUAGUAAACGCGAGUCAUCAGCUCGCAUUGAUUACGUCCCUGCCCUUUGUACACACCGCCCGUCGCACCUACCGAUUGAAUGGUUCGGUGAAGAUCUCGGACUUCGAUAUUUAUUCUUUAUUGAGUUUAUAUUGUGGGAAGUUAUCUAAACCUCAUCAUUUAGAGGAAGGUGAAGUCGUAACA